AGAGUUCGGAAGAGGGAUGCGGCGACAUUUGUUGAUUUCGCUUGUGUUUGGAUUCAUAAUCAGCGUAGAGUCUGUUCCAGCAAUCGUAUGUGCAGGAAGACAGUGCUUCGUAGAUAAAUUAUGUAAUACUACUAUUUACAACGACUGCGGGUGUAAAAAGGGCUAUAGAUUUUCGAAUGGAUUAAAUGAUACAUGCGUUGACCAGGACGAAUGCUUUCAUCACAUACACGACCCUUGCGGUCACAGAGGACGUUGC
Long non-coding RNA from Dreissena polymorpha, 256 nucleotides. RefSeq lists it as uncharacterized. The record is from RefSeq and is a predicted model, not a curated record. The transcript has 3 exons. NCBI's taxonomy places the organism in Eukaryota, Metazoa, Mollusca, Bivalvia, Myida, Dreissenidae.